AAGAGAAAGUGGUAAACUGAAAAGAGCUGCUAACUACUUUUCAAAGCGGUUAAACUCCGUUUUUCUCUUA
Molecule: transfer RNA, 70 nt
Filed under: Stenophyella macreta
Lineage: Eukaryota; Metazoa; Arthropoda; Insecta; Hemiptera; Pachygronthidae
Description: tRNA-Ser
Source: RNAcentral